GAUGAAGAACGUAGUGAAAUGCGAUAAGUAAUGUGAAUUGCAGAAUUCAGUGAAUCAUCGAAUCUAUGAACGCACCUUGCGCCCUUUGGCCAUUCCGAAGGGCAUGCCUGUUUGAGUAUCAUGAACACCUCAACUCUUUAUGGUUUUCCAUGAUGAGCUUGGACUCUGGGGGUUUUGCUGGCUCACAGUCGGCUCCUCUAAAAUGAAUCAGCUUACCAGUGUUUGGUGGGUAUCAUGGGUGUGAUAACUAUCUACGCUUGUGGUUUUUCCACCAGGUAACCUUCAGCAGUGGAGGUUCGCUGGAGCUCAUAGAUGUCUCUCCUCAGUGAGGACAGCCCUUUGAAUGUUUGAUCUCAAAUCAGGUAGGACUACCCGCUGAACUUAAGCAUAUCAAUAAGCGGAGGA
RNAcentral lists this unclassified non-coding RNA (405 nucleotides) under soil metagenome. RNAcentral's name for it is "partial contains 5.8S ribosomal RNA, internal transcribed spacer 2, and large subunit ribosomal RNA". The stretch from base 1 to 121 matches the Rfam family "5.8S ribosomal RNA", at positions 35 to 154 of the family's 154-position model. The record is from RNAcentral.